UUGCACGCUGGCGGCAUGCUUUACACCUGCCAGUCGAACGGUAACAGGCCUUCGGGUGCUGACGAGUGGCGAACGGGUGAGUAAUGCAUCGGAACGUGCCCAGAGGUGGGGGAUAACGCAGCGAAAGCUGUGCUAAUACCGCAUGUGUUCUGAGGAUGAAAGCGGGGGACCAGGCAGCAAUGUUUGGCCUCGCGCCUUUGGAGCGGCCGAUGUCAGAUUAGGUAGUUGGUGGGGUAAAGGCCUACCAAGCCGACGAUCUGUAGCUGGUCUGAGAGGACGACCAGCCACACUGGGACUGAGACACGGCCCAGACUCCUACGGGAGGCAGCAGUGGGGAAUUUUGGACAAUGGGCGCAAGCCUGAUCCAGCAAUGCCGCGUGCGGGAAGAAGGCCUUCGGGUUGUAAACCGCUUUUGUACGGAACGAAAAGGCUCUGGCUAAUACCUGGGGCUGAUGACGGUACCGUAAGAAUAAGCACCGGCUAACUACGUG
RNAcentral lists this ribosomal RNA (491 nucleotides) under uncultured bacterium. RNAcentral's name for it is "partial 16S ribosomal RNA". It matches the Rfam family "Bacterial small subunit ribosomal RNA", at positions 30 to 507 of the family's 1533-position model. The record is from RNAcentral.